This 7941-nucleotide long non-coding RNA is filed under the name Bemisia tabaci. RNAcentral describes it as "lncRNA ENSASIAIIG004831". The record is from RNAcentral. Lineage: Eukaryota; Metazoa; Arthropoda; Insecta; Hemiptera; Aleyrodidae.
AAUAACUGAGCCCCCCAGGAAAAGGAAAAGGAAAAGGUCAAGGUACUGAACGUUAUCUUCACCUACCCGGCCUACUGGUAGGACUUGCCGAAUUAGGAAGGCCUUGGAGCUAUAUCCCAAUCCUAACGUAAAAAAAAAAAUAAAUAGAUAGAUAUAGCCGCGCGUUUAUGUUGGUCAUUCUGAUAUUUCUAACAGGGAAUGUAGCUCUUUCGACCAACAUCUAAAUGUUGAUUCGACCCACAUUUCUGUUUAAAAAUAUCCCGCGAAAUGUUUUUUAUCUAUGACUUCCAAGAAGUAUUGAUUAUUAAUUUAUCGUAUUUAUCUGUUUAAAUGCUGAUCGUCUUUAUUUCGCCGCUGUAAUUUUUAUUUUGCCCACUUCACAUGCAGCAACUGGGAAUCGUAAUUGGCACGUAAGAGGUGAUAGACGACAACAACAAAAAGUACCGAUCCUAACCUCAAAUCAUCGACUCCUCUCGUGGCCUAGUUCAUGUUUGCGCGCUCCUUCCGCAUUUCCGCGUGAUGUUAUGUGAAAAUAAAACUAAGUAAUAAAAGUGACUAGUGAGCCAAAAAUGUCGUGAAUUGAAUAAGUGUCAAGAAUGUCUAGAAGAGGGGAGCGAAUGGUCCUUGCGGCCAUUCAAAAUAAAGAAUGUGUUUUGCAGCAGCCUGCCAGAAAGAGGAAGUUAUUGCCUAAAGUUAUUUCUGAAGUCAAGCCGGUACAUUCCAAAAGAAGGGCGACUCUGAGAGGGGCCAAGAAAAAUCUUUUUAAUGCGAAUUAUGAACCAUCAGCUGGAGGACAAAGUACAAAAAACAAUGACGUGCCUGAGCAAUUGAAUUCUGUACGGCCAGCCACAAGACAAACAGCAAUCCAGAAAGAUAUACCUCAGUCACUGAACUCUGUAUUGACAGCCAUAGAACAAGAAGCAAUCAAAGAAAAUGAGCCUGAGCCAUCGAACGAGUGGUAUUGUCACCGGUGGAUUCAGAACGAUUGUAAACUGACAUCCGAUACAGAAAAAUAUGUAGAUGUUGCUUGUGAGCAAACUGGAGUUACAGCGGAAAUCCUGAGUGAAAGUCGAACUAUCUUAGACUUUUCUGGAGAGCUAACAGGAGUUACAGCAAAUGCUCACAUUGAAGUUGAGCCCAACUUCAAUAUUCCGUUUGAAAGAAUAGAAGAAACAGCUAGAGUUCAUGCCGACGGUAAAACUGACUCUGGCAUUUCUUGUGAAGAUAAUGUUGUAGCAGCAGAAUCUCAGUUUGGGGAUGGAAGUAACGCCGACGUUCUGACGACAGCUUUGAAGGCAAACGAGUCUCAACCUUUGGUUCAAGUCUUAAAAUAUCAAGAGGAAGCCUGCUCAGUCUUAGAUCAGACACUUGAAGAUCUCUUUAGUAUAGAUACGGCUGCAGCACCAGUCCAAGUCAUUGAAGCCACUAACGCUGCUGAACAGUCCCACCUCAAAACUUGUCAAAAGAAUCCUUUCGCCUCCAUCCUCUCAGCAAAUGCAACAGGUGAAAAGAAUAUUUCUGAAAUCUCAUCUUCGCGUUCAGAACCUGUUUCUUUGUCGAAUGUUUAUAACUAUCCGGAGGAGUCUUCCUCCUCAGUUUCUCAAAAUUUCAUGAAUAGGCAUUCAACAAAAGCUUCGUCUUUGAAUGAACCUUUCGUAACACAGUAUGACGAAAUUCCUGACAUUCCCAUGUUUGGUAUUGUACCGGAUGGAGACUCUUCCGCACUGCCUGACAAUAACCGUGAUCCUGAUGUUAUAGACAUUGAUUCCUUACCCAUAUCUUAUCAGUCCAGUAUCUCUCUCUCUGCCUUUGAAGUCAUACCUGGAAAUGCUGUUAUCGAAACUACUCUUAGUGAAGGAACUUUCCACCUGCCUGUUAUCAACCCCAUACCUAAAAAUGCUACCGCCGAACCAUCUUCUCUUAGUGAAGGAACUUUCUACCUGCCUGUUAUCAACCCCAUACCUAAAAAUGCUACCGCCGAACCAUCUACUCUCAGUGAGGGAACUUUCCACCUGCCUGAUAUCAACCCCACACCUAAAAAUGCUACCACCGAACCUGCUGCCUCAGAAAAUUAUGCGACUGAUAAUAAUAUUCCUGGUCAAUGUAAGCAGAAAAAAGUGUACAGAAGAAUAAUGAAGUGGGACAGGGAAAAUGCUUGUAUCUACUGUCUAAAUAUAUUGGACGACCCUGACUUGUUCCCAAAACCCAAAAAGGUAUUAUGGACCAAUUUCUCGAAGCAUCUUAUUCAACACCACCCAAAUGAAGAUUUAGUUAAAGAGUACAAGGCAGUCCCAGAUAGCGAUCCUGAGCAAAAGAAAAAAAGAACUAAAAUAACAGAUGAAAUUCGCGGAAAGGGCAAUCUCCUAUAUAACAGAAAAGUUGUUGCGGGAGAAGUUAAAGGAAGCCUCAUAGUUGUCAAAAGAUCAAGACAUAGGCAGAUGACAGAAUUAACUGAAGCACCUUGUGCUCACUGUGGGGGAUUAUUUGCUCGGCGAACACUGUAUGCUCAUGAAAAGUUCUGUGAAAAAAAUGAAUUGAGACACGCACCGCCUCCAGAUGGUCAAAGGAGAAAAUGCCUGACUUCGAGUGGCAAUUGGCUGGAAGGAGAAAACAAUGAAGAUGACGCCUUUCUAACAGACUUUGUGUUUCCUCAUUUACGCUUCGGCGAAGCUGCUCUUAUAGCUAAGAGAGAUCCACUCAUUAGACAGUUAGCAAGUAGGAUGGGUAAGAAACAUUUUGAGACAAAGUAUUUAAAGUAUAUUGCGAGCCGAAUGCGUAACUUGGCUAAUUUUUUAAUUAUCAUGCGGAAGCAAAGUAAUGAGGUCGAGAAUUUAGAAGAUUGUUUUUGUGUUGCUCAGUACGAUAAUGUUCUUACCGCAGCAAAAUUGCAAUGUGGGAUGGAUGAAAUGACAAAACAAAUGAGGUCACCCAGUGUCAUUCCAUUCCUGAAAAGAAACAUACUGGAUUGUCUUGAGAGAAUGCGAGACAAUGCUCUGCGGCUACCUCACCUAGAAGAGGAGCUUGCCGCAAAGAGGGAAGUGGACAACUUUAAGCAACUACUGGAAAACAAUUGGGGACAUGAACUCGCUGCUCUUGCUGACCGAUUGCUAAAAGAAAGAAAAAUGAAAAAACCAGAGAUCAUGCCACUGAGCGCAGACAUAGUCGCGGGAUGUAAAGAAAUUGAAAAACUUGAAGCUGAAUAUUUGGUGAAGAUCAAGAAAAAUCCUACCCAAGGUUUACACGAAAAACUGUCAAAAAUACUCAUAGCUCACUUCCUGCUUCUUGGGAGAAAAAGGCCGACUGAGGUCGCCACAGCGAAGUUAACUGAUUAUCUGGAAAACAUUGAAGAAUUAAAUGAAGAUGAUGAAAAAUUAUUACAAAUGUUGUCUCCUGAGGAAAGAGAAAGUUAUGAAGAGCUGUAUACAUUUAAUAUUUUUGGAAAAGGAACCAAGCCAAGCGCCUGCCUCCUUACCCGCCGUAUGAGAGAGUGUCUAGAUGCACUGAUAGAAACAAGAAAAUACGUAGGAGUGCGCUCUGAAAAUCCAUUACUAUUUGCCAAACCCUAUAAUCCCAAUUGUAGGUAUGAUGAAUACUACGAUGGGACAAAAUGUGUUUCUUAUGUCAAAUCUUUGUUUGCACCUCAGAAGCCUGAGCACUUCAAGGCAAAUGGUUUCAGGCACCACGCAGCAACAAUGUUUAAUGUCUUGGACAAAGGAGAAUCUUUCAGGAAACAAGCAGCAGCUCAGAUGGGACACACCUUUAAUAUUCAUAAUAGUGUUUACACAAAUAAAAAGAGUGUGAUUCAGAGAGGAGUUGUUGGGCAUCAGAUGCUGCUGAUGACCCGACAAUCUAUUAUAGAUACUGCAAACACUAGUCAGUCAAAAGAUCAUCAAAGAAUUGACCAUCAAGGAACAGCAGGAGAGAAAGACCUUCACGAAUCAAAAAAUCUUUCGGAAAUAGAAAAGUGUCAAGAAACAGAAGAACGUCAAGAAACAGAAGAGUGUAAAGGAACAGAAGAGCAUCAAGGAACAGAGGAGCAUCAAGGAACGGAAGAGCGUCAAGGAACAAAUGGCCAGCAUGAUUUAGAAGAUUUUAAUGACUCUUUUGACAGUGCUGAUGACUACAUCCCAACUCCGCCACCAAAAAAAACAAAGAAAAACCCAAUUAAGAGACCAAAAUGGAGUCACGAGGCUAAAAAGGCACUGUAUGAUCGAUUUGGUGCCAACGUGGUAUCGAAAAAGAUGCCACCUCCAGGAGAGCUCAAAUUAUUCGUCGAAACAGAAGCUGAAAUGCAAAGUAGAACCCUGGUACAGGUUCGAGCGUAUCUAGAUGCAGCCAUAAAAGGUAAAAGUAAGUACCCAACUGAGUACUUAACACAGUUUCUAAAAUAAUUUUAAUACUCAUGUUCACAGGGCUGUAUAAUAUUCUGUUGCUGUCAAAUCCCCUGUUUGAACAGAAUUUUUGGUUUUUUCCUGUCAUAUCUCUGCGCUUCUCCAGUCAGCUGUAAAACUUCCAAUUCUUAAUAAUAAUUUCCAAAAACUAUCUCUAGAAUAUUGACGCCCUUCCUUCCAAAUUUCUACAAUUAGUUCUACUUUUUAUUCACUUUGCGUGAAAAUAAUUUGGCAUUGUACAGUAAAUUUUGCAGCCCUGAAUUAAUAAUCUUUUUACCUUGGUAAUCUUUUCAAUUUAUAACACUAAGUUUAAGGAAGAUUAAAUUUCUAGAACUGGGAAUGUACCAAAAUAUUCUUGGUAUACCAAGUUUUUUUAUUCCCUCUUCUACUCUAACUGGAUUGGGCUAUUGCAAAAAUACUAUCCCACCCUUUUCACGAAUAUUGUGUGAAAAAACUUUGAUUUUGUAAGGUGACCAAAGCUCACAUUAGUUCUUUUUUCAAGAAGGGAAAUUCCUUUUCAAUGGUACAUUGUUCUUACUCAUAGUAUUAACGUUUGUCGGUUUAAGCUGUUUCAAAAAAAUGUUGUUUUCUAUGGUCACCAAAGUACUCAUUAGUUCUCUUUUCAUGAAGGGAAAGUCCUUUCAAAUGGUGCAUUGUUCUUACUCAUAGUAUUAGCAUUCGUCAGUUUAAGCUGUUUCAAAAAAAUAUUGUUUUCUAUGGUCACCAAAGUACUCAAUAGUUCUCUUUUCAUGAAGGGAAAGUCCUUUCGAAUGGUGCAGUGUUCUUACUCAUAGUAUUAGCAUUCGUCAGUUUAAGCUGUUUCAAUAAAUAUUGUUUUCUAUGGUCACCAAAGUACUCAUUAGUUCUCUUUUCAUGAAGGGAAAGUCCUUUCAAAUGGUGCAUUGUUCUUACUCAUAGUAUUAGCAUUCGUCAGUUUAAGCUGUUUCAAAAAAUAUUGUUUUCUAUGGUCACCAAAGUUCUCAUUAGUUCUCUUUUCAUGAAGGGAAAGUCCUUUCAAAUGGUGCAUUGUUCUUACUCAUAGUAUUAGCAUUCGUCAGUUUAAGCUGUUUCAAAAAAAUAUUGUUUUCUAUGGCAAAGUACUCAAUAGUUCUCUUUUCAUGAAGGGAAAGUCCUUUCAAAUGGUGCAGUGUUCUUACUCAUAGUAUUAACGUUUGUCGGUUUAAGCUGUUUCAAAAAAUGUUGUUUUCUAUGGUCACCAAAGUACUCAAUAGUUCUCUUUCAUGAAGGGAAAGUCCUUUCGAAUGGUGCAGUGUUCUUACUCAUAGUAUUAGCAUUCGUCAGUUUAAGCUGUUUCAAUAAAUAUUGUUUUCUAUGGUCACCAAAGUACUCAUUAGUUCUCUUUUCAUGAAGGGAAAGUCCUUUCAAAUGGUGCAUUGUUCUUACUCAUAGUAUUAGCAUUCGUCAGUUUAAGCUGUUUCAAAAAAAUAUUGUUUUCUAUGGUCACCAAAGUUCUCAUUAGUUCUCUUUUCAUGAAGGGAAAGUCCUUUCAAAUGGUGCAUUGUUCUUACUCAUAGUAUUAGCAUUCGUCAGUUUAAGCUGUUUCAAAAAAAUAUUGUUUUCUAUGGCAAAGUACUCAAUAGUUCUCUUUUCAUGAAGGGAAAGUCCUUUCAAAUGGUGCAGUGUUCUUACUCAUAGUAUUAGCAUUCGUCAGUUUAAGCUGUUUCAAAAAAAUAUUGUUUUCUAUGGUCACCAAAGUACUCAUUAGUUCUCUUUUCAUGAAGGGAAAGUCCUUUUAAAUGGUGCAUUGUUCUUAUUCAUAGUAUUAGAAGUCCUUUUAAAUGGUGCAUUGUUCUUACUCAUAGUAUUAGGGUUCAUCAGUUUAAGCUGUUUCAAAAUAAUAAUUAUUUUUUGGCUUAUCUAAGGACAGAGACUGACCAUGAAUGUUACGUACUGCAAUUUUUCUGAUUGGUACUCAAGGUAGUUUCUAAGUGGUAGAGGGACAGGCUUCAAUAAUACAUUAAUUAAUCAAUUAUUUCUAAGCGUACACAAUUUUUUUCAAAAAAGCCAAACUUUCCAACACUCUGCAGUCAUUUGGGAAUCCUUACGCGUAUACAAAAUUUAAAAUUUAAAAUGCGAAAUGCUAAAAGUACGGAUCAGCCUUGAAUAUGGCAUUAUCAGUCGAAUUUUGUAUGAAGAUUCCCAAUUGACUGCAGAAUAUUGUAAUGUUCAGCUUUUUUCGAAAAAAAAUUGUGUGCGCCUUGAAAUCAUUUAUUAAUUGAUCGAUUAUCAAAUCCUGUCUCAAUACUGCUGAGGAAGGAACCACCUUAAUAGUCUUAAAAAUAGAUUGGCUCUUUCAAAACUUAAAAUUUUUCUAAAAUUCAUUUUUCUCUCUAAUUUUUUUGUCAACCUCUCUUUUAUAAAUGAAAAUUUUUGUCUUUCCAAUUUUGUGACUAGGUUUUAAUUUUUAAGUUAUUUGUAGUCUAAAUUUCAUUUUUCUCCCUAAUUUUUUGUUAACAAACCUCUCUUUUAAAAAUAAAAAUUUGUUAUCUUUCCUUUCCAAUUUUGUGACUUGAUUUUAAUUUUCAAGGUAUAUUUGCAGAGGCAUAGCGUAGGAUCUGAAAGUGAAGAGCUGUUGGCAAUACUUAAAGGUCAAAGUUGUCCCAACUUCAAAAAAGUCAAGACUGUACAAGUAGCGCCCCCCCCCCAGUCAGGGCCUGGGGCAGAUUCCGAGUGGGGGCCCUCUGAUAGGAUGAAUUCACAACGUUGCUGGGUGAACACUCCGUGGGAGUCGGGGGGAGGGCACUCCUACAAAAGUGAGGGGGAGGUCUCCAAGGCCUGUCCUGUAAAAUUUUGAAAUUCUAGCCUUAAAAAAUUUCAAAAUUAUUCAUUUUUGUUUUUUUGUGCUCUUCAGUAGUACUUUGUCUAAAAAACACGAAAAAGUAGUCAGAUAUUAUUUUCCUCGACCCCAAAUACUUUUUCGAGGGCUCUACAGAGUCUUAUCUAAAGAGAACCAGUGCAAAAUAUGAGGUCCAAACCAGAACUCUCACUUUUCCAAAUCAGCUUUCACCUUCAUUUUCUUUUUUGAGACUUUCGCGAGCCUUGAGGGAAAUAUCUCGGGUUCUACAAUAGCUAGAGACUUCCUUUUUUUUUUUAAAAAAAAAAAAAAAAAAAAAAAGAAAGGUCAUGAUUUGGGUUGCAACUUGUCAGGAGGAAUUUUCAAUAUUCCUUUUUCUUCGUUUUAAAAAAUUAUGAAUAAGCUCAGAUGAUUAAAAAAAUAUAAAAAAGUAGAAAUCUUUAUUCAUAACAUACUUCCACUCAUGAAACAAAAUAACCUCCUAAGACGUUGUGAUAGACAUAUUUAGACACAUAAUAAACCAAAGAACAUUGAAAUUCAUUCAUUAAGUCUUGAGAAAUUUCCUUCACAAAAUAACCUUCUUUGUUACAUAUAUUGUGGGGGCGCCCCCAAAAAAAAAUUUUGGGGAUUUUUAGUUUGAGUUUACUACCCAUCCCGCUCUCCUGUUUCCCUGUUUUUUCUUUUUUUUCUCUCUUUUAUCAUCCUUUCCUCUUCUUAUCUCUUUUUUUCUCCUAU